UGGCAGUUUGAGCAAAUUACCUUUACCUCCA
Molecule: non-coding RNA, 31 nt
Filed under: Mus musculus (house mouse)
Lineage: Eukaryota; Metazoa; Chordata; Mammalia; Rodentia; Muridae
Source: RNAcentral